AGUGGAAUAGCUGGGUCAGAUGGUGGAUCCAUUCCAAGUUUUCUGAGGAAUCUCCAUACUGAUUUCCAUAUUGGGCUGCACCAAUUUGCAGUCCCACCGGCAAU
This 104-nucleotide microRNA precursor is filed under the name Marmota monax (woodchuck). The record is from RNAcentral. Lineage: Eukaryota; Metazoa; Chordata; Mammalia; Rodentia; Sciuridae.